RNAcentral lists this transfer RNA (72 nucleotides) under Fukomys damarensis (Damara mole-rat). It matches the Rfam family "tRNA". From Rfam's summary of the family: Transfer RNA (tRNA) molecules are approximately 80 nucleotides in length. Lineage: Eukaryota; Metazoa; Chordata; Mammalia; Rodentia; Bathyergidae. The record is from Rfam by way of RNAcentral.
AGGGGCGUGGCUCAGCAGUAGAGCACUUGUGUAGCAUACAUGAGGCCCUGGGUUCAAUCCUCACCACCCCAA